UGGGGAAUAUUGGACAAUGGGGGCAACCCUGAUCCAGCCAUGCCGCGUGAGUGAUGAAGGCCUUCGGGUUGUAAAGCUCUUUUGGCGGGGACGAUGAUGACGGUACCCGCAGAAUAAGCCCCGGCUAACUUCGUGCCAGCAGCCGCGGUAAGACGAAGGGGGCUAGCGUUGUUCGGAAUUACUGGGCGUAAAGCGAGUGUAGGCGGUUGCCGUAGUCAGGUGUGAAAGCCUUGAGCUCAACUCAAGAAAUGCACUUGAUACUGGGUGACUAGAGGACCGGAGAGGAUAGUGGAAUUCCCAGUGUAGUGGUGAAAUACGUAGAGAUUGGGGAGAACACCAGUGGCGAAGGCGGCUAUCUGGACGGUUACUGACGCUAAGACUCGAAAGCGUGGGGAGCAAACAGGAUUAGAUACCCUGGUAGUCCACGCCGUAAACGAUGGGUGCUAGACGUUGGCGAGCUUGCUCGUCAGUGUCGCAGCUAACGCGUUAAGCACCCCGCCUGGGGAGUACGGCCGCAAGGUUGAAACUC
Molecule: ribosomal RNA, 529 nt
Filed under: uncultured bacterium
Lineage: Bacteria
Description: partial 16S ribosomal RNA
Rfam family: Bacterial small subunit ribosomal RNA
Source: RNAcentral